UUUUGGACAAUGGGCGCAAGCCUGAUCCAGCAAUGCCGCGUGAGUGAAGAAGGCCUUCGGGUUGUAAAGCUCUUUUGUCAGGGAAGAAACGGUGAGCUCUAAUACAGUUUGCUAAUGACGGUGCCUGAAGAAUAAGCACCGGCUAACUACGUGCCAGCAGCCGCGGUAAUACGUAGGGUGCAAGCGUUAAUCGGAAUUACUGGGCGUAAAGCGUGCGCAGGCGGUUAUGUAAGUCAGAUGUGAAAUCCCCGGGCUCAACCUGGGAAUGGCAUUUGAGACUGCAUGGCUAGAGUGUGUCAGAGGGGGGUAGAAUUCCACGUGUAGCAGUGAAAUGCGUAGAGAUGUGGAGGAAUACCGAUGGCGAAGGCAGCCCCCUGGGAUAACACUGACGCUCAUGCACGAA
This 403-nucleotide ribosomal RNA is filed under the name uncultured bacterium. Its description in RNAcentral is "bacterial SSU rRNA". It matches the Rfam family "Bacterial small subunit ribosomal RNA", at positions 362 to 757 of the family's 1533-position model. The record is from RNAcentral.